AUAACCCAGGCCGGGUGCCCAGAGCUGAAGAGGAAGAGGCGGUGGCGGCAGGACAGUGCCUGAGAAGUCUGUGGCUGAGCUGGGAGCAGGCUCCCCACCCCCUACGUGGGGGACGAGAGCAGGCAGGUGCAGUGGCCAUGGCUACUGCAGGAACCCCUUGGAUGUGGACGCUGGGGACCCUGAUCACAGCCCUGAUUCUGGGGGUGACAGAGCCUGUGCUUGCAAACGACGUUGCUUCCUGCAACAGCCCCGCGGCCCCCAGCGGCACCUCCACGAGCACCCAGGCCCUUGGGACGGGGGCCACAGAGGACAUCCGGGGAAACGACGG
Molecule: long non-coding RNA, 328 nt
Organism: Pteropus alecto (black flying fox)
Lineage: Eukaryota; Metazoa; Chordata; Mammalia; Chiroptera; Pteropodidae
Exons: 3
Source: RefSeq, a predicted model, not a curated record